AGGACGAACGCUGGCGGCGUGGAUUAGGCAUGCAAGUCGAGCGACAAGCCUUCGGGCUAUGGAGCGGCGAACGGGUGAGUAACACGUGAGAAAUCUACCUUUACGUUCCGGAUAAUUGGAAGAAAUUCCUUGUAAUACGGGGGAGGUUCCUACUUUGGCAUCAGAGAAGGAACAAACAAGCAAUUGGCGCAAAGAUGAUCUCGCGGCUUAUCAGGUAGUUGGUGGGGUAACGGCCUACCAAGCCUACGACGAGUAGCUGGU
RNAcentral lists this ribosomal RNA (261 nucleotides) under uncultured bacterium. Its description in RNAcentral is "partial small subunit ribosomal RNA". It matches the Rfam family "Bacterial small subunit ribosomal RNA", at positions 26 to 291 of the family's 1533-position model. The record is from RNAcentral.